Molecule: unclassified non-coding RNA, 282 nt
Filed under: Dothideomycetes sp.
Lineage: Eukaryota; Fungi; Ascomycota; Dothideomycetes
Description: partial contains 5.8S ribosomal RNA, internal transcribed spacer 2, and large subunit ribosomal RNA
Rfam family: Eukaryotic large subunit ribosomal RNA (bases 226-282)
Source: RNAcentral
GUGAGUCAUCGAAUCUUUGAACGCACAUUGCGCCCCUUGGCAUUCCAUUGGGCAUGCCUGUUCGAGCGUCAUCUACACCCUCAAGCUACGCUUGGUGUUGGGCGCCUGUCCGCGUUCGCGGACUCGCCUUAAAUCUAUUGGCAGCGGCUUUGCGAGCUUCUUGCGCAGCACUCUUGCGCACUAGGAGGCCAUCGUAGACUCGUGUCCACAAAGAGCUUUACGUUCUGACCUCGAAUCAGGUAGGGAUACCCGCUGAACUUAAGCAUAUCAAUAAGCGGAGGA